AAUAUAGUUUAUAAAAAUGAAUUAAUACUAUACUUCUAAACUAAUGAUGACAUAGAACACAUUAUGAUGGGUGAUGGUUGGACAGGAUAACUGAGACAAUGAAUGAAAUGAUGGAAUGUAAGCUUGGAUGUUAUGUAGCAAAACCUAAUUAAGUAUCUGAGAAAUGUGUGAUGUCUGGGUUGUAAAAUCAGUCUGACUGUAUGGUUUAACAAGCUAUCAAUUAUUCAUAAAACCACCCAACGCCAUUGUGCAGAUCUACGAACCCCUGUGUGAUGGAAGCUCUCUGUGGUCCGGAUGAAAGGCAGCCAGGUUGGUGCGUGUUGUGUUCCCGACAGAAAAGACUAGAAACAGUGUGAAUGCUGUGAAAACAUCAUUGUAAAAUGCUUCUUUUUAUUUUUGAUGAAACCGGAGCUCGUGCUCUUAUUUUGAAAGGCACACUUGCCUUUCUCAACAACUUCCGGUUAGCUUAACGUGUGCACUCGUUUUUUUUCUAACGUAUGAAAGGAAGCUGAUAUAUGCUGAAUACGUUCAGAUUAAUAUAAGAGACUAACAGCAAGCAAAACUUGUUUUCUCCCCUCCCAUUCGGAGCUACAAGCAGGCAAAGUGGUUAGUAGACUUUGUAACCUUUAUUUGUGAUUUAUGUGUUAUAUUUAUGUAAACAUAUUGUUUAUUCUGUCGGUUUGUAGUUCUACGGUGGUUUAUGGUGCUGCAUGAUGCUAGCUUUGCUAGUCAAUAACGGCACAAAUAAAGAACGCCAUCUGUAAAAAGAACUGGAGUCCUCGCGUGCUUCGAUGGGCGGCAUAGUAGAACACUUCACCACGCAAAGGAAAGGUGAAGACUCCAUAUGAAGAGCGAAGUGUGCCAAACCGUUGAGGACGUCGGGUAGAGGAGCAGUCUGCAGUUGAAGAUACAUCGUGUCAUCUGGUGAACGUUGUGUUGAGAAGAUUAAAGAAGCAGUAUGGACAAAGCUUAAAAGGUGGACACGUUAAAGUAAACGGGUCAGAAGUAGCAUAAAGAUCCAGAACUGCCAUGAACUUUUCAUCACACAUUCCAUCGUGUACAUCUUAAAGGAGCAGCGAAGCUUCCCUUCCACUUGGCUACACUGCAAGAGCUAAGUAACUUUAUAGGCAAAUCCACUCAUCAAGUAAUUUGAUUAGGAAAAAAUAUAUAUAAAUAAAUAAUAAUGUUAAGGGUUUAUUCUCUAGGUUAUGCAUAUAAUUGCAUUGUGUUUGCAUUAAGAUUGUGUGGAGGUUGCUGGUAAUUGUAUCACAGGAGAUUCUUAUUUGUGUUUCUGCCAAAUGUGCUGUUAACAUUUAUUUUAAGUUGUUUACAUAAGAGUUUAGACACAAGUUAAGCUCAAGUUAACGGCAGAAAAUUGUUCAACCUUUAUCUGUUUACUGAAAUUCAUUUUAUUCCUUUAGUUUACAACUCUAGUACAUUUAUAGGCUUAAAAGUACACAGUCAGUAUGUCACAAAGGGGUGAUAUUGAAAAUAUAUGUACUUCACAAGAGAAAGCUGAUAUUAAUGAGCAAGUAGAAGCAACUACAAAGGAAAUGCAAGCUCAGGUUGAGUCACAUAAGCAAGCUAGUGAGACGGUCACAUCAACUGCACUAGACUCACUGUCUCAAACUAAAGAUCUCCCACAUUCUGCAUGCAUUAGGAAAAGUGAACGCAAACGAACGCUCACUGAAAAAGGACAAGCUUUAGCAGAUGAUCGACUGAAGGAUCUGAAGGCACAGUUCAACAGAGCUUAUGAGCGGUGGAAGCACAAAAUAAAUGGACUGAAAAAGGCCAUAAAGUACAAUGAUAAUUCUGAGCUAACGGAGAUCGUGAGUAAAAUAAAUACAACCCAAGUUGAGAUAGAUAAUAUUUAUCUUAAAAUAAGAGAUACUGUACAUCCAGAUCAUCCAAAUUCAGAAAUCCGCAGAAUCAACGAUACCUGCCAAUCGCUCACCAAGGUUGCAAAUAAAAAGGCACAGAAGUUUCUCAUCAAUGAUGGUACAGAAGUAUCAUCCUGGCCCGAUGUGGAGUCUGUGUUUGAAGCUACAACAUCUAAUGUCUCUUUAUCUUCAGGAAAGACCAGACAUUCAAAGGAGUAUUCGUACAGGUCACAAGAUGCUAGACAAGCUGCAGCAGAAGCAGCUGCCACAGAGGAAGUCCUAAAAAUAAUGAAAGCUCAACAUGACUGUGAAGAAGAAAUCUGGAGACUUGAGCAGGCAGAUCAAGUGUUGGCAGCUGAAAAAGAAGCAGAGGAAAUUAGGCAGAAAGCUGAAAAUGAGGCUGAGAAUGCAAGGAAAAGAGCUCAGUUUAUUGCAGAAAGUGCAGCUAGAAAGAUGAAGGUUGAGGAGAAGAAGAAAGAAGUUGAACGAUUAGAGGAACUUAAAAGGCUUAACGCAGCAAAGGCAAGGCUGAAAGUGUAUUCUGAAAUUGUUCAUAGUGACGAUGAAGAAGAUCAUCUGUUGCCACCUCCUCUACCACAAAAUCCAGCACUUUCUCAACCUCUUAGCUCACAAGAAAGGCAUCCUCAAAUCCUUCCAGCAAACCAAUCCGUAGCUCAACAACCAUACCAGGUUACAGUCACUAAAAGCUUUACUCCUCAUUCACCAAUCUAUACCUCAGUAUCUGUGCCACAAGCAUCUUCAUUUAAUAAACCAACUGUGAACUAUCAGCCCAAUCCCAUUCAAACAGUUACAUCAAACAACCCAAAUGACACAACCAAUGAAUUGGUUAAAACAUUAGCGGAAGCUAUCGCUGCAAAUCGAAUCCCAAUUCCUGAACCUGCUGUUUUCACUGGAGACCCCCUGAAGUACACUGAUUGGAAACUUUCUUUUUCCACUUUAAUUAAUCAGAAAAACCUUCCAAACCAAGAAAAACUGUUCUUCUUACGCAAGUAUGUUGGCGGUGCAGCAAAAAGAGCUAUAGAAGGUCAUUUUCUGGUUGGUUCAGAAACAGCUUAUAAUGCUGCCUGGAAUGUGCUCGAAGACAGGUUUGGCAAUCCUUUCCUGAUUGGCAAGGCAUAUCGUGAUAAAAUACAUUCAUGGCACAAAAUUGGCCCAAAGGAAACUGUGGAGCUCCGUGAGUUUGCAGAUUUUCUGAGCAGUGUGGAAUCAGCCAUGCCAUAUGUACAAGGAUUACAAGUUCUGAAUGACUGUACGGAAAAUCAAAAAAUAGCACAAAAACUACCAGACUGGUUGAGCUCACGGUGGAACAGAGCAGUCGUUACUUUCCAGGAUGAAAUCGGUGCAUUUCCUGACUUUAAGUACUUCGUCUCAUUCCUCAACAAAGAGGCUCGCAUUGCUUGCCACCCUGUUACAUCUUGGCAGGCUAUGAAUCUAAAGGGAGAGAAAUCAAGGUCAAGCGAGCAAGACAUAAGAGGAUCUCCAAAAGAUAAAGUUGGUGCUAAGACAUUCACUACAAACACAAGUGAAAGGAUAGAUAAGAAGUGUCUUUACUGCAAAAGGCCACAUCACACUCUCCAUAAAUGUCGCAAGUUCAUCGAAAAACCACUUGAUGAAAGAGUCAAGUUUGUACGGGAAGAGAAACUCUGUUUUGGUUGCCUUGAGAAUGGACAUCACUCCAAGGUCUGUAAGUCUAGAAGUACAUGUGACACGUGUAAAAAACCUCACCCAACGUGCUUACAUCAAAAUCGUGAAAAAAGGGAACAGAAGCAAGAAAAUAAUCCAAAACAAACUCAUUCAACUGAAAAUGACAAGGAUGGGUCUGAACAAGAUCAACCGAGGGUAAACAACCAAGACAAAGACAAGUGUUUUAAACCAAAGCAAACACUUGAGUCAGAUGGAGCUACUUCUCUAAGGAUUAUUCAAGAAAGGGGCGGAACUCUCACUUCACCAAUUGUUCCAGUCUAUGUGUCCUCAUUGACUCAACCAGACAAGGAAAUACUAGUGUAUGCUCUGCUCGAUUCUCAGAGCGACACUACGUUCAUCUUGAAGGAUGUAGCCGACACACUGGAUGCCAAGAAAGAUCCAGUAAAGCUCAAGGUGUCAACAAUAACAUCAAGAACAAAGGUUGUAUCCAGUGAAAGGUUGACUGGUCUGGAAGUGAGAGGCUUGAAAUCUGAAGUUAAGAUCAAGCUUCCAGUAAGCUACACCAGGGAGUAUAUACCGGCUAACAGAGCUCAUAUUCCCACAAGUGAAACCGCAAUGUCCUGGCCUCACUUAGAACAUCUUGCAGAGGAGAUGUCGCAAGAAUUAGAUUGUGAGGUAGGUUUGCUAAUUGGUUAUAACUGUUCUCAGGCUCUGGCUCCAAGAGAAGUCAUCCAUGGAAGUGAAAAUGAACCCUUUGCACUCAAGUCUGUGCUGGGUUGGAGCAUUGUCGGGUAUAACAGUACUGUCAAUGAUUAUGAAGAUGAAAUAGGUGUAAGUCACCAUAUCAUUGCUAAGCAAGUCAUACCACUUACAAUGCCUUCCUCUGAACUCAAGUCAGAAGUCCACUUUUCUGCUAGAACCCAAGUUAAAGAAGUUAUCUCCCCAUCAGACAUGAAAAAGGUUUUUGAGUCAGACUUCUCUGAAAGAAAGGGUGGAGAAGCUCCAAUAUCACAAGAAGACUUGCGGUCCCUUGCAAUACUGAAAGAAAGUAUAAAGCAGAAGCAGGAUGGACACUACCAGAUCAACGCACUAAGCCAAGAGGAAGAAGUCAAAGGGAACAAGUCAACUUGCCUCCAAAGGCUAAGCCCAUUCUUGGACAGACUGGGUAUCUUGAGGAUGGGAGGACGGUUGACCCAAGCCGCACUUCAUCCACAUGUCAGACACCCAGCCAUUCUUCCUAAAGGACAUCAUGUCUCUCGUCUCAUACUCAAGCACUGUCAUGAGAAGGUGUGUCAUCAAGGUCGUGGAAUGACAAUCAAUGAAGUUCGUGCGAAUGGCUUCUGGAUCCUUGGGUGUAAUGGUGAAGUCUCUUCCUUUAUCUUCAAGUGCGUAAAGUGCAGGAAGUUCAGAAGGUCUAACCAAGAACAAAAAAUGGCCGAUCUUCCCCCUGAGAGAAUGGAAAGUACACCUCCGUUCACGUACAGUGGAAUGGACUGUUUUGGUCCAUUCUACGUCAGAGAAGGAAGGAAAGAGCUAAAGAAAUAUGGGCUCAUAUUUACAUGUAUGUGCUCAAGAGCCAUCCACUUAGAAGUAUUGGAUGACCUUUCUUCUGAUGCCUUCCUGAAUGCAUUGCGAUGUUUCAUUGCAAUAAGAGGCAAUGUGAGACAACUUCAAAGUGAUCAAGGUACCAAUUUUGUAGGUGCGACAAAUGAGUUCCAAAACAUGAUGAAAGGACUACCAGAGGAACGUGUGAAAGAACUUGGAUGCAGCUUUGUGAUGAAUCCUCCUGCUUCCAGUCACAUGGGCGGCGUCUGGGAGAGGCAGAUCCGCACUGUAAGGAGUAUCCUCACCUCUAUCCUCGACCAAUCUGCAAGUCGAUUUGACAGCUCAUCACUGAGGACAUACUUAUAUGAGGUGAUGGCUAUAGUGAAUAGUCGACCUUUGACCACUGUCCAUCUCAAUGAUCCAUCAGGCCCGGAACCUCUGACCCCCAAUCAUAUCCUCACAAUGAAAUCUUCAGUCAUCAUGCCCCCGCCUGGUGAGUUUGUGAAGGAAGAUUUAUAUCUUCAGAAAAGAUGGAGGAGGGUUCAAUUUCUAUCAAAUGAGUUCUGGACCAGGUGGAAAAGGGAGUAUUUGCUCAAUUUACAACAAAGAAGAAAAUGGACUACUGAGAGACGGAAUGCUAAAGUAAAUGACAUUGUCUUGCUGUUGGACGACAACCUGCCAAGAAACCAGUGGAAGUUGGCAAGGAUAGUGGAAGUCUUCCCAGCUGCAGACAACAGGGUUAGAAAGGUCAAGCUGUUAGUUAGUAACACAUUUUUGGACAACAGAGGCAAGCACACAACCCAGCCACUUUAUUUAGAGAGAGCCAUACAUAAAACAGUGCUAUUACUUGAAGCAGAGUAAAGGGUUAUCUUAAGAAGGUGCCUUUGUUUACUGUUGGUAGUUUUUUUUUGUUGUUUAACAAGUUAUUGUAUAUAGUUUAAAUGAAUCACUUUGUGUGAUUGGUGGGAGUGUGAAUGCUGUGAAAACAUCAUUGUAAAAUGCUUCUUUUUAUUUUUGAUGAAACCGGAGCUCGUGCUCUUAUUUUGAAAGGCACACUUGCCUUUCUCAACAACUUCCGGUUAGCUUAACGUGUGCACUCAUUUUUUUUCUAACGUAUGAAAGGAAGCUGAUAUAUGCUGAAUACGUUCAGAUUAAUAUAAGAGACUAACAGCAAGCAAAACUUGUUUUCUCCCCUCCCAUUCGGAGCUACAAGCAGGCAAAGUGUUCUACGGUGGUUUAUGGUGCUGCAUGAUGCUAGCUUUGCUAGUCAAUAACGGCACAAAUAAAGAACGCCAUCUGUAAAAAGAA
Molecule: RNA transcript, 6398 nt
Organism: Nothobranchius furzeri (turquoise killifish)
Lineage: Eukaryota; Metazoa; Chordata; Actinopteri; Cyprinodontiformes; Nothobranchiidae
Source: RefSeq, a predicted model, not a curated record